CAGUCGCCGCGGUAAAACAGAGGGUGCAAGCGUUAAUCGGAUUUACUGGGCGUAAAGCGUGCGUAGGCGGUGAGUUAAGUCUGCUGUGAAAUCCCCGGGCUCAACCUGGGAAUGGCAGUGGAUACUGGCUCGCUAGAGUGUGUCAGAGGAUGGUGGAAUUCCCGGUGUAGCGGUGAAAUGCGUAGAGAUCGGGAGGAACAUCAGUGGCGAAGGCGGCCAUCUGGGACAACACUGACGCUGAGGCACGAAAGCGUGGGGAGCAAACAGGAUUAGAUACCCCGGUAGUCCCUGUCUCUUAUAC
Molecule: ribosomal RNA, 301 nt
Filed under: uncultured bacterium
Lineage: Bacteria
Description: partial 16S ribosomal RNA
Rfam family: Bacterial small subunit ribosomal RNA
Source: RNAcentral